UUUUGAAAGGGAAACGAUUGAAGUCAGUCAUGCCGGUGGGAAUCAACUUAGGGGAAACUCUGGGUGCACUUCUUCGCUUGGCAGGUCAACGUCGAUUUUGAAUGUCAUAAAAUAAUUGGGGGAAGGUAGCUCCUUCGGGAGUGUUAUAGCCCUUGAUAGAUGUGAUGUUUGGGGUCGAGGAUUGCAACGGAUACCCUUCGGGGCUAGCCGCCUGAUCUCUAAUUGGUGUUGGGUUACGGAUAGCAUGCUGACCGUGAUCUAAUUACUGGUUAAAAGGUUAGAGCGUGCAUAAAUUCGUUAAGGAUGUUGACGUAA
This 315-nucleotide ribosomal RNA is filed under the name Gigaspora margarita. RNAcentral's name for it is "eukaryotic LSU rRNA". Lineage: Eukaryota; Fungi; Glomeromycota; Glomeromycetes; Diversisporales; Gigasporaceae. The record is from RNAcentral.